GUCUGUCAUAAGGGAUAAGUCAUUAGUCCUGGUGGUGUAUCGUAUUUGGGUACUCUGAGGAUCAAGGGAAGUGAUUCUUCACAAAGGGAACCUCCACCCUGAACUGUGUUCCACUGCAGAUCUCUGGGGCAUGCACUCUCACACAACAAACAUCCUGCCGCAGCCUGGUGGGUCAUUACCAUGGACGAUGUCAAACGUUGAAACUCACCGGGAUAUAGAAGAUAGCUAAGCCUGCCAAGAUGGUUUCUGCAUACCUUGGAGUAGUCCUCGGAGAGGAUAUCGAAGGCAACGACUGUUGAGAGAAGUAAAAUACGGAGUCAAGACAACGCUCGAACUUCAAGGAUAACUGGAAAGUAUCAUAGCAGCGGAUCCGUGG
Molecule: long non-coding RNA, 376 nt
Organism: Hypomesus transpacificus
Lineage: Eukaryota; Metazoa; Chordata; Actinopteri; Osmeriformes; Osmeridae
Exons: 4
Source: RefSeq, a predicted model, not a curated record